CUACGGGUGGCUGCAGUCGAGAAUCUUCCGCAAUGGACGAAAGUCUGACGGAGCGACGCCGCGUGCGGGAUGAAGGCCUUCGGGUUGUAAACCGCUGUCAGUGGGGAGGAAAUGCAUCAGGGUUCUCCCUGGUGUUUGACCGAUCCGCAGAGGAAGCGCAGGCUAAGUUCGUGCCAGCAGCCGCGGUAACACGAACUGCGCGAACGUUAUUCGGAAUCACUGGGCUUAAAGAGUUCGUAGGCGGCCUUUCAAGUCGGGUGUGAAAUCCCUCGGCUCAACCGAGGAAGUGCGCCUGAUACUGUUGGGCUUGAGGGGGAUAGGGGUGAGCGGAACUGAUGGUGGAGCGGUGACAUGCGUUGAUAUCAUCAGGAACACCGGUGGCGAAGGCGGCUCACUGGAUCUCUUCUGACGCUGAGGAACGAAAGCUAGGGGAGCGAACGGGAUUAGAUACCCGUGUAGUC
RNAcentral lists this ribosomal RNA (461 nucleotides) under uncultured bacterium. RNAcentral describes it as "partial 16S ribosomal RNA". It matches the Rfam family "Bacterial small subunit ribosomal RNA", at positions 339 to 795 of the family's 1533-position model. The record is from RNAcentral.